Molecule: long non-coding RNA, 422 nt
Organism: Varanus komodoensis (Komodo dragon)
Lineage: Eukaryota; Metazoa; Chordata; Lepidosauria; Squamata; Varanidae
Exons: 3
Source: RefSeq, a predicted model, not a curated record
UUUGUUUGGUUGUUGUUGUUGUUUUUGCAUUUAUAUACCACCCCAGUAGCCCAGAGGGCUUUCUGGGUGGUUUAUUAUAAUGAUAAGGAAUGAGACAUUAUCCCAUAGAGAGAAGUGGCUGCUUUGCUCUUUUUUGCUGCAAAUUCUCACUCUUUCUUCACCAUCUCCAAAAUGUAGACAGAAUCAAGGACCUGUUUUCUCCCUUGGGCAGGGGCUCGAAGGAUUCUUACAGAUUUCAAGGAUGUUAGGCAGACCUCUUUAUUUUAGGUAUUAUAUAUCCCACUUUUUUCUUGCAAAAGGAAAUGCAAAUUCUUGCAAAUUUCCCUCUUCUUCCUGUCACAACCUCUCACUGGGAUCAGGCUGGAAAUUACGGAUCAGGCACCGGCCCAAAAACAUGAGCUUUGCAUGGCCAGAGGUAGAAG